This 1987-nucleotide ribosomal RNA is filed under the name human gut metagenome. RNAcentral describes it as "bacterial LSU rRNA". It matches the Rfam family "Bacterial large subunit ribosomal RNA", at positions 3 to 2002 of the family's 2925-position model. The record is from RNAcentral.
UCAAGCUACUAAGGGCAUACGGUGGAUGCCUAGGCGCCAAGAGCCGAAGAAGGACGCGGUAAGCUGCGAAAAGCCACGGGGAACUGCAAGCAAGUAUUGAUCCGUGGAUAUCCGAAUGGGGAAACCCGGCCAUCGUCAUGGAUGGUCACCCGCAAGGGAGGGAACCUGGGGAACUGAAACAUCUAAGUACCCGGAGGAAGAGAAAUCAAACGAGAUGCCCACAGUAGCGGCGAGCGAAGAGGGCAGAGCCCAAACCGAGAAGCUCCGGCUUUUCGGGGUUGAGGACCGGCAGAAUCGAAGUCAGGCCUAGUUGAAUUACCUGGAAAGGUAAGCGAGAGAGGGUAAAAGCCCCGUAGACGAAAGGCAGAGCAGAGAGGCCGAGAUCCAGAGUACCACGAAGCACGAGGAAUUUUGUGGGAAGCAGGGGGGACCACCCUCCAAGGCUAAAAACUACUUGGCGACCGAUAGCGCAUAGUACCGUGAGGGAAAGGUGAAAAGAACCCCGGGAGGGGAGUGAAAUAGUACCUGAAACCGUAUGUCUACAAGCAGUCGGAGCGAAAGCGACGGCGUGCCUAUUGAAGAAUGAACCAACGAGUUAUCUGCACUAGCGAGGUUAAGUGGAAGACACGGAGCCGCAGCGAAAGCGAGUCUUAAGAGGGCGCUAGUUAGUGUAGGUAGACCCGAAACCGCAGUGAUCUACCCAUGUCCAGGUUGAAGCGCAGGUAAAAAUGCGUGGAGGACCGAACCGGUGAGCGUUGAAAAGCUUUCGGAUGAGAUGUGGGUAGGGGUGAAAUUCCAAUCGAACGCGGAGAUAGCUGGUUCUCCCCGAAAUAGCUUUAGGGCUAGCCUGAGGUAGUAAGUAUAGGCGGUAGAGCACUGAUCGGGCUAGGGGCCGUAAAGGUUACCGAACCCUGUCAAACUCCGAAUGGAUAUACUGUAGAGCCUUGGAGUCAGACUACGAGUGAUAAGAUCCGUGGUCAAAAGGGAAACAGCCCAGACCACCAGCUAAGGUCCCCAAUGUCGUACUAAGUGGAAAAGGAUGUGGGGUUUCAUAAACAACCAGGAUGUUGGCUCAGAAGCAGCCACCAUUUAAAGAGUGCGUAAUAGCUCACUGGUCGAGAGACCCUGCGCCGAAGAUUCCCGGGGCUAAAGUACGAAACCGAAGCUGUGGCUGUAUACGUAAAGUAUACGGGGUAGGGGAGCGUUCCCAUAGGGUAGAAGUCGAACUGGAAGGUUCGGUGGACUUGUGGGAAGUGAGAAUGUUGGUAUGAGUAGCGAAAAGAAAGGUGAGAAUCCUUUCCACCGAAAGCAUAAGGAUUCCUGAGCAACGAUCGUCGUCUCAGGGUAAGUCGGGACCUAAUCCGAGGCAGAGAGCGUAGGAGAUGGACAACUGGUUGAUAUUCCAGUACCGGUAGUAAUUGUUUGAGCAAUGGAGUGACACAGAAGGGCAGGCAAGCAUGCGAAUGGAAGAGCAUGUGUAAGCGUGUAGGGUGGUGCAUAGGCAAAUCCGUGCACUGAAAGCCUGAGGCGUGAUGCGGAGUGAGCAGAGAUGCGAGCGAAGUUGUUGACCCCACACUGUCGAGAAAAGCUUCUAGUGAGAGAGCUACCGCCCGUACCGUAAACCGACACAGGUAUGCGGGGAGAGAAUCCUAAGGUGCGCGGGAGAACCCUCGUUAAGGAACUCGGCAAAAUGUACCCGUAACUUCGGGAUAAGGGUAGCCACUGUUGUGAAGUCCCAUGCGGAUGGAGCAUAGAGUGGUCGCAGAGAAGAGGCCCAAGCGACUGUUUACCAUAAACACAGGUGCCUGCUAAAGCGAAAGCUGACGUAUAGGUGCUGACACCUGCCCAGUGCCGGAAGGUUAAGGAAGGAUGUUCGGAUUAGUCCAAAGCAUUCGACUGAAGCCCCGGUGAACGGCGGCCGUAACUAUAACGGUCCUAAGGUAGCGAAAUUCCUUGUCGGGUAAGUUCCGACCCGCACGAAAGGUGU